Molecule: non-coding RNA, 427 nt
Organism: Pelobates cultripes (western spadefoot toad)
Lineage: Eukaryota; Metazoa; Chordata; Amphibia; Anura; Pelobatidae
Source: the annotation of a GenBank genome assembly
CUCCAGCCGCAGUGUCGAAGGGUAGGGGAAGGUACAGGUCAGCGGUGUUCGUUCAAAUAUGUGGCCGAUUUCCGUUCCAGGGAUUUGACGGCACACACCGUUGACUGCGUUCGACUGAAUUAAAAUGGCCGCCGCCACAUGUUCGAUUGUCUAAUGGCGGCCACUUCGACUACUUCGGCUGUAUCCGAAGUGCCAUAUCAAAGUACCAAUCCUUUGCACAAAACAGUUAAAGAGCCAGACACAGUCUUUGUUCUUAGGUACAGGGCAAUGUGGAUGAUGGCAGGAAAACAAAACGUAGAGGUUCCCAUGCAACAUGGUAGGGGGUUGUUACAGCAAGAACAUGGAAAGGAGAAUAUGAUUUUAUUGUUACUCAAUUAAGCUCACAAUUAUUAUAUCAAAUAAAAAUGGAAAAGAGUUAUUCUAAAUG